This 396-nucleotide ribosomal RNA is filed under the name uncultured bacterium. RNAcentral's name for it is "partial 16S ribosomal RNA". It matches the Rfam family "Bacterial small subunit ribosomal RNA", at positions 523 to 918 of the family's 1533-position model. The record is from RNAcentral.
AUACGUAGGGGGCGAGCGUUGUCCGGAAUGAUUGGGCGUAAAGGGCGCGUAGGCGGCCCGGUAAGUCUGGAGUGAAAGUCCUGUUUUUAAGAUGGGAAUUGCUUUGGAUACUGUCGGGCUUGAGUGCAGGAGAGGUAAGUGGAAUUCCCAGUGUAGCGGUGAAAUGCGUAGAGAUUGGGAGGAACACCAGUGGCGAAGGCGACUUACUGGACUGUAACUGACGCUGAGGCGCGAAAGUGUGGGGAGCAAACAGGAUUAGAUACCCUGGUAGUCCACACUGUAAACGAUGAAUGCUAGGUGUAGGGGGUAUCGACCCUUCUGUGCCGCAGUUAACACAAUAAGCAUUCCGCCUGGGGAGUACGGCCGCAAGGUUGAAACUCAAAUGAAUUGACGGGG